CCUGCCUGCAGAGAGGAGCUAUCCUCUCCAGGGCCUCUUUUCUGUGGAGAGCUGAACACUGGAUGGGAUGACCUGCCUACAGAGAGG
Molecule: microRNA precursor, 87 nt
Filed under: Chlorocebus sabaeus (green monkey)
Lineage: Eukaryota; Metazoa; Chordata; Mammalia; Primates; Cercopithecidae
Description: miRNA (ENSCSAG00000027965.1)
Source: RNAcentral